UACGGAGGGGGCAAGCGUUGUUCGGAUUUACUGGGCGUAAAGGGUGUGUAGGCGGCUGGAUAAGUCUGGCGUGAAAUCUUCACCGCUUAACGGGAAGGGGUCGCUGGAAACUGUUCAGCUUGAGUAUGGUAGAGGCAAGCGGAAUUCCUGGUGUAGCGGUGGAAUGUGUAGAUAUCGAGAGGAACACCUGCGGCGAAGGCGGGUUGCUGGGCCGACACUGACGCUGAUGCGCGAAAGCCAGGGGAGCGAACGGG
This 254-nucleotide ribosomal RNA is filed under the name uncultured bacterium. RNAcentral describes it as "partial 16S ribosomal RNA". It matches the Rfam family "Bacterial small subunit ribosomal RNA", at positions 524 to 776 of the family's 1533-position model. The record is from RNAcentral.